Long non-coding RNA from Gossypium arboreum, 1631 nucleotides. RefSeq lists it as uncharacterized. The transcript is spliced from 2 exons. The record is from RefSeq and is a predicted model, not a curated record. Lineage: Eukaryota; Viridiplantae; Streptophyta; Magnoliopsida; Malvales; Malvaceae.
GAUUCUCUUCCCUUGUGUAAUUUUUAUUUUCAGUAUUUUUGCACAGAACCCUAGUUGUGUCGUCCCAUGUUGUAACCCUAGGUAUAAAUUGUAUUUUAUUUUCUGUUCAGCCUUUUUUGAUAAUUUUUUCCCUCUCCUGUUGCUGCCCCUCUUCUCUUUUCUCAUUUUCCCCAAUUUUCUUUUCCUUUCUUUUUUUUCAUUGUGCCGCCCCUACGUCUCAAUUUUCUACCAUACCCUUCUUCUUUCUUACAUUACGUCUCAAUUUUCUCCCAUACUCUUCUUCUUUCUUACAUUGUUGUCGCCGCUUUAGUGAACAACCACCAUUGUUGUAGUCGUCCAUUAGAGAUCUCCCACCUUCUCUUUGUUUUCUUUCUUUUUCCUAUGAUGGCUAAAUACUACAGGGUCUAUGGUCAAAUUUCUCAUGUGCUAAUUUCAUGAAUUUUUCUUUGUCAAAGGUCUAGACUUGAAUUUCCUCAGAUCUCCAGUGAAGUUUGAGGCCGUACGCAUCUUUCAUUUGAUCAGUAUAAGUGUACAAAUCUAAACAGGAUUUAGUCAGAUAUGAGACAUAGGAGUAGUGGAUUAUUUUUAGUGCUUCAGAUUGUGUUUUCAGGUGUGGUUCUUAAAUUUGGGUGUAUUGGUGAUUAUUGAAAGUAUGUGUUAUGUAUGGCCUUGUGUCAGAUAAGGGAUUGCCGAACAUGGUAAGUGUUAAGAAGCGAUGGUUGAAUGUUUAAGGGCCUUUAAUUAUGGUUAAUUGGGUGUGUAAGUGUCAUAUGUAUUAUCUGAUUGUAUGUCUAUUGGGAUGUAUGAUGUGUUAUUAUUUAUUGUUUACAUGUAAAAGCAUGCCACUGAUUUUUACUGUACAUACCAAUUGCAUGUAAAACAUGUCACUAUACUGAUAAACUAAAAGCAUGUUAAGCAUGCCACUGUUAUUGAUAUUGUCAAUGACUAGCAUGAUAUGCUACAUUAUUAGUAAGACAUAUUGUAUUGGAUGGGGAUUGGGGAUUGAUUGGUGAUGGAGGAGUUUUGUAGAGUCGGAUAGUUUAUUCGCAUUAUUACACUAGCAGUUAAUCUGCAACCUUUGGAGUACUAGUGGUUUAUCCGCAACUUACUAGCAGUUUGACUGUCAAUUAUUGACUAUUUAACUAUAAAUUAUUACUAGUGGUUCAUUCACAUUGAGCUACGACUGUGUAUCAGAUGACGAGUAUUGGAAACUCGUAAUUUAUAGUGGAUGGAUGGGUAGGACCUAUGCACUGUUUCAUAUAUGCAUGUCAUGUAAAAAAAUUGUAAUAUUAAGGACUGUGAUGUCUUGAUUUACUGUAUGUUUUUUUUUUUUAUAAUGAUGGUUGUAUGCUUCACUAAUUGUUUGUAUGUCUAUACAUUGUUUACAUAUACAUUGUUUACAUAUGUUUAGACUCACAUUGAGCUUUUCAAGCUCACCCAUUUAAUUUACUUAUUACUUAUAACCCUCAAGGUUAGGAUCAGACACGAUAUUUGGAGGUCUCGUCUUAAAUUUAUUUAAUAAGUACUUUUAAUUUUUACUUUAUUUUAUUAUGGUUUUUGAGGAUUGUAAUUUUGUAAAUUAUGGACUGUGGCAUGAGUUUGUUUUUAUUUGGGUUUUUGCAUGCAUGAAA